This 245-nucleotide ribosomal RNA is filed under the name uncultured bacterium. RNAcentral describes it as "partial 16S ribosomal RNA". It matches the Rfam family "Bacterial small subunit ribosomal RNA", at positions 528 to 772 of the family's 1533-position model. The record is from RNAcentral.
UAGGGGGCAAGCGUUAUCCGGAAUUACUGGGUGUAAAGGGAGCGUAGACGGUUAAGUAAGUCUGGAGUGAAAGGCAGGGGCCCAACCCCUGGACUGCUCUGGAAACUAUUUAACUUGAGUGCAGGAGAGGUAAGCGGAAUUCCUAGUGUAGCGGUGAAAUGCGUAGAUAUUAGGAGGAACACCAGUGGCGAAGGCGGCUUACUGGACUGUAACUGACGUUGAGGCUCGAAAGCGUGGGGAGCAAA